AGUGGCGGACGGGUGAGUAACGCGUGAGUAACCUGCCUUUCAGAGGGGGAUAACAGCCGGAAACGGUUGCUAAUACCGCAUGAUAUAUCGAAACCGCAUGGUAUUGAUAUCAAAGGAGUAAUCCGCUGAAAGAUGGACUCGCGUCCAAUUAGCUAGUUGGUGAGGUAAUGGCCCACCAAGGCGACGAUUGGUAGCCGGACUGAGAGGUUGAACGGCCACAUUGGGACUGAGACACGGCCCAGACUCCUACGGGAGGCAGCAGUGGGGAAUAUUGCACAAUGGGGGAAACCCUGAUGCAGCGACGCCGCGUGAGGGAAGAAGGUUUUCGGAUUGUAAACCUCUGUCCUUGGUGAAGAUAAUGACGGUAGCCAAGGAGGAAGCCACGGCUAACUACGUGCCAGCAGCCGCGGUAAUACGUAGGUGGUAAGCGUUGUCCGGAAUUACUGGGUGUAAAGGGAGCGUAGGCGGGAAUGUAAGUUGAAUGUUAAAUCUAUGGGCUUAACCCAUAUUCGCGUUCAAAACUACAUUUCUUGAGUGAAGUAGAGGUAGGCGGAAUUCCUAGUGUAGCGGUGAAAUGCGUAAAUAUUAGGAGGAACACCAGUGGCGAAGGCGGCCUGCUGGACAUUAACUGACGCUGAGGCGCGAAAGCGUGGGGAGCAAACAGGAUUAGAUACCCUGGUAGUCCACGCCGUAAACGAUGGAUACUAGGUGUGGGGGGUAUUGACCCCCUCCGUGCCGCAGUUAACACAAUAAGUAUCCCACCUGGGGAGUACGGCCGCAAGGUGAAA
Molecule: ribosomal RNA, 788 nt
Filed under: uncultured bacterium
Lineage: Bacteria
Description: bacterial SSU rRNA
Rfam family: Bacterial small subunit ribosomal RNA
Source: RNAcentral